UAGCCAACCAACUGUUGAGGUGUGUACAC
This 29-nucleotide non-coding RNA is filed under the name Mus musculus (house mouse). The record is from RNAcentral. Lineage: Eukaryota; Metazoa; Chordata; Mammalia; Rodentia; Muridae.